RNAcentral lists this unclassified non-coding RNA (163 nucleotides) under uncultured Hypoxylon. RNAcentral's name for it is "sequence contains ITS2". The record is from RNAcentral. Lineage: Eukaryota; Fungi; Ascomycota; Sordariomycetes; Xylariales; Xylariaceae.
CAACCCUUAAGCCUCAGUUGCUUAGCAUUGGGACUCUACGACCUAUUAUAGCGUAGUUCCUUAAAGUUAGUGGCGGAGUUAUAGCACACUCUAAGCGUAGUAAUUCUCUCUCGCUUCUUGUAGUGGUUAUAGUUGCUAGCCAUAAAACACCCCCUAUUUUAAU